ACAGUGCCCUGCUGUGCGCGGCGUCACCGCAUCUAGGGUGGAGGCUCGCAACGUGCCCCCCGACGCCAGCGCGCUCCCACCCACCGGCGAGUCAAGGUUGCGUUGGGGAGACAGUGAACCCCGUUCCCGACAUCAGGGGCCUCCCCUUGGGGAAACUGAGGCCCCUGGCCAGCUGCGCAAGACCUGGGGACACGCGUGUUCUCUAAAUCUUGGGACUUUCAUUUCCAGCCUCUUCCUCCAAAAAUGCCGAAUUCACUGCGCCAACCCUCGAACUCACUUGAAAAGCAAUUGUUUUCCACUUGCGCGUUUUAUUUUGUAUCCUAUGCAGAUUCUAUUUACAUAUGCAUUUUGAGAUUAAGGAAUUUGGGGACUUGUUUUAACUAAUUACUCGUUCAGUGAAGUACGGGAGAGUCAAAGAACAGUAUUCCUACUGGAAACUCCAAGUCACACGUGUGUAUAAUCAAUGAAAGAUGACGAUCAUAAAACGUGUGCUUUCGCCAGCUUUCCGCGAGGAGAGAAAUCAAAAGAGAAUUUAUUUUUUGGUUUGCAUUUUAGCAUUUCUGUAAACUUGGGACCACGCUUUCCGUUUUCAGUGAGUGCACCCACACUUUCCAACUUUCUGCGCCCAAAGUUGCAACAAACCAAGGUGUCUGAACCACAGGAAGUUUCUUGGGCUGUUCCGCUGA
This 686-nucleotide long non-coding RNA is filed under the name Homo sapiens (human). Its description in RNAcentral is "HSALNT0342397". The record is from RNAcentral. Lineage: Eukaryota; Metazoa; Chordata; Mammalia; Primates; Hominidae.